UUCGCGCAUGUCUGUAAGUCGCUUUGGAUAAAAGCAUCUGCUAAAUGGCAUGUG
Non-coding RNA from Salmo salar (Atlantic salmon), 54 nucleotides. The record is from Rfam. Lineage: Eukaryota; Metazoa; Chordata; Actinopteri; Salmoniformes; Salmonidae.